AAGUCCAUGCUGUGAUGCAAUACAAUUCUAACCCCAGGGCAAAGGAUGUCAGUGCCUCCUCCUGCCCCAUGCUGCAUUUGGCAUCUCCUCAAAAAAAGACAUGUCACGCUGGAUAGCUGGGAAAUGG
Molecule: long non-coding RNA, 127 nt
Organism: Phyllostomus discolor (pale spear-nosed bat)
Lineage: Eukaryota; Metazoa; Chordata; Mammalia; Chiroptera; Phyllostomidae
Exons: 2
Source: RefSeq, a predicted model, not a curated record